RNAcentral lists this ribosomal RNA (164 nucleotides) under uncultured bacterium. Its description in RNAcentral is "partial 16S rRNA". It matches the Rfam family "Bacterial small subunit ribosomal RNA", at positions 355 to 511 of the family's 1533-position model. The record is from RNAcentral.
UAGGGAAUCUUCCACAAUGGGCGAAAGCCUGAUGGAGCAACGCCGCGUGUGUGAUGAAGGUUUUCGGAUCGUAAAGCUCUGUUGUUAGAGAAGAACACGAGUGAGAGUAACUGUUCAUUCGAUGACGGUAUCUAACCAGCAAGUCACGGCUAACUACGUGCCAG